Haemorhous mexicanus (house finch) is the source of this 291-nucleotide long non-coding RNA. RefSeq lists it as uncharacterized. The record is from RefSeq and is a predicted model, not a curated record. The transcript has 3 exons. Lineage: Eukaryota; Metazoa; Chordata; Aves; Passeriformes; Fringillidae.
GGACUGAAGCCAAAGUCACCUACUAUAUAAGAGCGAUGAAGCACAGAUGAACUGCAGUCCUGAUCAAGUUUAGACCCAACAUCCUUGUGCCAAACUCCACUCGAGAUGGGGUUUGGCAGGGGGAUAUUGCUACCAGAAUGGGCUUUCCUGUUAGCAGUUUGCUGUAUCCAUCAAAUAGGAGGUCAGAUUGGAAGCCAAAUAGGAAAUCAGUUCUCUGGGGACCUUCUACAGAAACGGAAUGAUUCUUUCAGAAUUCCAACUAACUUGAACAUCUUCCCAUCACUGCUGACA